UACGAGGGGGGCAAGCGUUGUUCGGAAUUAUUGGGCGUAAAGGGCGCGUAGGCGGUGCGGUAAGUCACCUGUGAAAACUCUGGGCUCAACUCAGAGCCUGCAGGCGAAACUGCCGUGCUGGAGUGUGGGAGAGGUGCGUGGAAUUCCCGGUGUAGCGGUGAAAUGCGUAGAUAUCAGGAGGAACACCGGUGGCGAAGGCGGGUCUCUGGGCCGUAACUGACGCUGAGGAGCGAAAGCGUGGGGAGCGAACAGG
RNAcentral lists this ribosomal RNA (253 nucleotides) under uncultured bacterium. RNAcentral describes it as "partial 16S ribosomal RNA". It matches the Rfam family "Bacterial small subunit ribosomal RNA", at positions 524 to 776 of the family's 1533-position model. The record is from RNAcentral.